AUGGCCUUUCCUUCCCAAAAUAACCGGGAGAGCAACGCCCCAGGAAUGGGAGCUGUUAUCCCACAUCAGAGGGGUUUGUGCAAGCUGAGCCUGGAUUUCACCGUGGGUCACGGUGCCCACGGGACAUUCCCAAUCUGCUCCCCACACCUCCUCUCUGGAGACUCACCCUGGAUUCACACCAGGCACGACCUUUCCCACAAUGGGAGCUGCCUCCGUUGGGAAAGGCUGGUGAGAGUGCAAGGGCUGCAGUUCCAAGAGCUGUUCUUCCAGGGGCUGGUGCUGUUCCAGGGGCUGCAGUUCCAGGGGCUGCAGUUCCAGGGGCUGCAGUUCCAGGGGCUGCAGUUCCAGGGGCUGGUGCAGUUCCAGGGGCUGCAGUUCCAGGGGCUGUGCUCCAGGGCCUGUGCUCCUGGGGCUGGUGUGCCAUGGCCAGCAGUGAGGUGUCACCCCAGCCCCACAGGCUGGCCCUGGGGGCUGUCACUGCCACUGCCCUGCUGUAGCACAGCCCAGCUUUAUUCCCAAAUCCCUGGGGUUCAUCCAUGCCAAGGCCGGAGCUGGUUGUCAGCACGUGUUCCCAAAACCAGCGCUGCUGUGCCAUGUGUGGCCUUCCCCCCGGUUUUCCUCCCUUUUUUGUGCCCAACACCGCAGAGCUGGAGCCAAAGCCCCGUCAGAUCCAUCCUGGAUGUCCCUCACGUGCCCCAAUCCCUGCUUUGGGGCGAGCUCCGUGUGUUCAGGGGGGGCACAGGGGAAUGCAGAGGAAUGCCCAUGGCACAAGGCCGGAGCAGGAGCUGCUGCCAGGCUCUCCCAGGGGAUGAGGCCGGGCUGAGCCCCAGGGAAGGGAGCCACGCUCCAGCACUGGGAACAGCAGGAAUGGGGACAGACAGGGCUUGGCCCCUCUGUGCCCAGCCCAUCCCUCAGCCCUGGCUCCUGGAGCACCCCUCACUCACACCAGAGCCACAGGGGAGCAGCUGGGGCUGCCCUGGACCCCUGGCAGUGUCCCAGUGGACACUGGGCUGGAGCAGCCUGGGACAGGGGGAGAUGUCCCUGCCAUGGCAGGGCUGGGAAUGGCUGGAUUUAAGCUCCCUCCCAACUCAAACCGGUCUGGGAUUCCGGGAUUCCAGGAUCUUCCACCUGUUGAUUUCACUUCCCAUUGCCAGUGUUUCCUCACCCCCUGCCAUGGAUGGAUCCUGUGGCUGGGCUCAGGCUGCCUGGAGGGCUCUGCUGUCUCUGGAGUUGGUUUGUGAUGGGAUUUGA
This 1251-nucleotide long non-coding RNA is filed under the name Cyanistes caeruleus (blue tit). RNAcentral describes it as "lncRNA (ENSCCEG00000005563.1)". Lineage: Eukaryota; Metazoa; Chordata; Aves; Passeriformes; Paridae. The record is from RNAcentral.